UAUCUACUAUUCAAUUUUAUUCUAUUUUAUAUGAAUCACCAUCGUCUUCCUACAUUAAUGAGGGGCAUUGUAGUUGUUUUUUUCGCUAUCCUUAAUUUGUCUAAAAGAACCAACAAACCCUCAUAUGAAAGGAAGGAUAGAGUAUGUUACCAUUGGCUUGUUCUCAUCCAUGUAUUCACCUUUCACUUUAACACGCUCACAAACAAAGAAAUGUUUUUGUUUCAGUCGUGUUAGGCAUUAAGCUUGGGAUGCAUUGGGAGUUUUAUAGAUGCUAUGUUAGUAGCUAUGGCGAUUUGACCUUUAGUAUGCCAUAGGGACAGGACAUCUCAGGCAUCCAUGCGAGAUGACUAGAUGUCGGUCGGCCCUACUACACCAUUCG
RNAcentral lists this long non-coding RNA (379 nucleotides) under Oryza brachyantha (malo sina). RNAcentral describes it as "long non-coding RNA (OBRA_LNC001831)". Lineage: Eukaryota; Viridiplantae; Streptophyta; Magnoliopsida; Poales; Poaceae. The record is from RNAcentral.